RNAcentral lists this unclassified non-coding RNA (1286 nucleotides) under Leishmania donovani. RNAcentral's name for it is "gene:unknown". The record is from RNAcentral. Lineage: Eukaryota; Euglenozoa; Kinetoplastea; Trypanosomatida; Trypanosomatidae.
GCACAUAAAUAUAUAUAUGCCGCUGCGCGACACUGAAACGGCCACAUAGAAAUACACAGAAACACGCAGAUGCAUACACGGCCAUGUACAGAAGCGUGCUAUCGGCGCUCUUUUCUCCGUGUUGACGGUCAGGGAAGAUGAGUGAGCCCACAUGCAGCCCUGCAUAUAGGCGGGAACGCGAGAAGAAACAGCGUGCGGGGGUUUGGCUUGUGCACAGGUCCGGCAAUACAGGCUGGAGUGAGCUGAGCCGUAGGUGACAUCCGUCAUUAGGCAGAUCGGUAACGUGCGAGGCGCCUGUGCAGGUGCGCACAGGCGAGAUAGGGCGUGGGAGGGGGUGCUUCAGCGAGGGCGGGCAUGAGCACAUGAUGACUCGACAACACGAUCAUUUAACAGCAACAUCUGAUAGACAUCAAACCGUCUUGACGUGAACGCGUUUACAAUUUUUCUGACAGUAAAGCCCGCCCCUACCGCUGAAGCUCUCUCUCUCUCUCUGAUAUCUUCUGGCGUUGUGUGUGUGUGUGCGUUUUGCAGCAUUCAUCGUUGACUUGUACAGGACUAUCGUUCAUAACUCAGCACCAUCGACUCUCUUGCUGCGCCUGUCCUUGCAGCCCAUAACAAGGCGUAGAGACCUCUAUGGAGGUCAUGUGAUGUGCAGUCCUUCUUUCUUUUAGCGUUUGUUUUCCUGGGAAGGGCACACUCUCACAGCACGACGCCGUGAUCGCUUUUUCUGGCGUCCUUCCUCUCCGUGCACUCGUCUCUAUGUGUGUGCGUGUGUGCGCGUAUGUGUGCCUGUGCCUCUUAGCCAGCCUCGCCAUCAUGGCACCAUCCUGAUCCACCCUGCUCGGUUACAGAGUAACCGCCAUGGCAGCGGGUGCACUUUCACCGCCGCAUCCGAUGCUUACCUUGAGCAGGUGCGCCGCAACGCUACCAGCACCCGAUGACGGUUCUGAGGGAUGGAGCAGCGCCCGGUCUCGCGAGGCAUGGAGGCGGUGCUGGCGUGACGAAUAACACUACUGGUUGUGCUGCUAGACAAGACCGUGAUACAGAGAAUUCUUACGUUUCCCGCUGGAAAGUGUGCAAAUGCCUGAAAUACGCCGAGCAGUGGAGGCUCUUGUGGACAGCCUGUGUGUUAAUGCUUGUUCGCUGACUAGAACGUUGCAACGUCACAGCAAGUUGACAUGACGAAAGCCUCGCUUUCUCUGCGAUGAAUUCAGCUGCAGUGCCGCCGAUAUUUCGCCGUUCCUCCCCGCUGUGAUGCCAACACCAACAACGAACGAGAUUAACAG